UAACGUGAGAGUUUGAUCCUGGCUCAGAACGAACGCUGGCGGCAGGCCUAACACAUGCAAGUCGAGCGAGAAGCCACCUUCGGGUGGUGGGCAGCGGCGGACGGGUGAGUAACGCGU
Molecule: ribosomal RNA, 117 nt
Filed under: Rhodospirillaceae bacterium
Lineage: Bacteria; Pseudomonadati; Pseudomonadota; Alphaproteobacteria; Rhodospirillales; Rhodospirillaceae
Description: partial 16S ribosomal RNA
Rfam family: Bacterial small subunit ribosomal RNA
Source: RNAcentral